RNAcentral lists this ribosomal RNA (475 nucleotides) under uncultured bacterium. RNAcentral's name for it is "bacterial SSU rRNA". It matches the Rfam family "Bacterial small subunit ribosomal RNA", at positions 604 to 1076 of the family's 1533-position model. The record is from RNAcentral.
AAGGCUCAACCUUCGAAGAGCCGAUGGAUACUGCCGGGCUAGAGUCCGGAAGAGGCGAGUAGAAUUCCUGGUGUACGCGGUGGAAUGCGCAGAUAUCAGGAGGAAUACCAAUAGCGAAGGCAGCUCGCUGGGACGGUACUGACGCUAAGGCGCGAAAGCGUGGGGAGCGAACAGGAUUAGAUACCCUGGUAGUCCACGCCGUAAACGAUGGGCACUAGGUGUGGGAGGUGUCGACUCCUCCCGCGCCGACGCUAACGCAUUAAGUGCCCCGCCUGGGGAGUACGGCCGCAAGGCUAAAACUCAAAGGAAUUGACGGGGACCCGCACAAGCAGCGGAGCAUGUGGUUUAAUUCGACGCAACGCGAAGAACCUUACCUGGGCUUGACAUGUUGGUGACCGGUGUGGAAACACAUCUUUCCUUCGGGACACCAUCACAGGUGGUGCAUGGCUGUCGUCAGCUCGUGUCGUGAGAUGUC